AUUUUAUUAAUAUAAAAAAGUAUAUUUGAUUUCCAAUCAAAAAGUUUAAAUUUAAAUAAAAUA
This 63-nucleotide transfer RNA is filed under the name Chaetosiphella stipae. RNAcentral's name for it is "tRNA-Gly". RNAcentral also lists the same sequence under 1 other name. Lineage: Eukaryota; Metazoa; Arthropoda; Insecta; Hemiptera; Aphididae. The record is from RNAcentral.